GUAACCGGCCUACCAAGGCAAUGACGGGUAGCCGGUCUGAGAGGACGAUCGGCCACACUGGGACUGAGAUACUGCCCAGACUCCUACGGGAGGCUGCAGUCGAGAAUCUUCCGCAAUGGGCGAAAGCCUGACGGAGCGACACCGCGUGCAGGAUGAAGGCCUUCGGGUUGUAAACUGCUGUCACGCUAUAGGAAUUCCCUGCUGUUAAUAGCUUCAGGGUUGACCAAAGCGAGAGGAAGCACCGGCUAACUCCGUGCCAGCAGCCGCGGUAAGACGGAGGGUGCAAACGUUGUUCGGAAUCACUGGGCAUAAAGCGCACGUAGGCGGCUAAGUCAGUCUGGUGUGAAAGCCCUCGGCUCAACCGGGGAACUGCAUCGGAUACUGCUUGGCUUGAGGAUGGUAGGGGUGAGUGGAACUCCUGGUGGAGCGGUGAAAUGCGUAGAUAUCAGGAGGAACACCAGUGGCGAAAGCGACUCACUGGGCCAUUUCUGACGCUGAGGUGCGAAAGCUAGGGUAGCGAACGGGAUUAGAUACCCCGGUAGUCCUAGCC
RNAcentral lists this ribosomal RNA (550 nucleotides) under uncultured Actinomycetes bacterium. RNAcentral describes it as "bacterial SSU rRNA". It matches the Rfam family "Bacterial small subunit ribosomal RNA", at positions 256 to 801 of the family's 1533-position model. The record is from RNAcentral. Lineage: Bacteria; Bacillati; Actinomycetota; Actinomycetes.